Molecule: ribosomal RNA, 253 nt
Filed under: uncultured bacterium
Lineage: Bacteria
Description: partial 16S ribosomal RNA
Rfam family: Bacterial small subunit ribosomal RNA
Source: RNAcentral
UACGAAGGGGGCUAGCGUUGCUCGGAAUCACUGGGCGUAAAGCGCACGUAGGCGGACUCUUAAGUCAGGGGUGAAAUCCUGGAGCUCAACUCCAGAACUGCCUUUGAUACUGGGAGCCUUGAGUUCGGGAGAGGUGAGUGGAACUGCGAGUGUAGAGGUGAAAUUCGUAGAUAUUCGCAAGAACACCAGUGGCGAAGGCGGCUCACUGGCCCGGUACUGACGCUGAGGUGCGAAAGCGUGGGGAGCAAACAGG